RNAcentral lists this ribosomal RNA (468 nucleotides) under uncultured bacterium. Its description in RNAcentral is "partial 16S ribosomal RNA". It matches the Rfam family "Bacterial small subunit ribosomal RNA", at positions 28 to 507 of the family's 1533-position model. The record is from RNAcentral.
GACGAACGCUGGCGGCGUGCUUAAUACAUGCAAGUCGAACGGAAAGGUCCUGCUCUUGUGGGGUGCUCGAUUGGGGAACGGGUGUGUAACACGUGAGUAACCUGCCCCUGACUUUGGGAUAACUUUAGGAAACUGGGGCUAAUACCCGAUAGGACCUCCUGCUCCAUGGGGGUGGUUGGAAAGAUUCGGCGGUUGUGGAUGUACUCGCGGCUUCUCAGCUGGUUUGUGGAGUAGUUGCUUACCAAGGUUUUGACGGGUAGCCGGCCUGAGAGGGGUGACGGCCACAUUGGGACUGCGAUACGGCCCAGACUCCUACGGGAGGCAGCAGUGGGGAAUAUUGCGGAAUGGGCGGAAGCCUGAUGCAGCAACGCCGCGUGCGGAAUGACCGCCUUCGGGUUGUAAACCGCUUUCGCCUGUGACGAAGCGUGAGUGACGGUAAUGGGUCAAGAAGCACCGGCUAACUACGUG